UUUACAGAUAUCAUCAGUAUGAUUUUUUUUUUUUUAAUUUUUUAUUCAAUAUUGAUCUUUAAAAUUAAUUUUUUUGUUUGAAAGUAUCUUGGUAAAUUUACCCAAAGAAUAUUUUUCUCUUUUUUAAUGUUUUUUAAUCAAUUGAAAAUCAUUGAAAAUAUAAUUUACAAUUCUGUAUUGAUAUAUAAAUUAGACGUUUUAAAAGCUAUACACUAUGGGAAAAUGUGACUUUUACCGAAUGUGUUUAGUAAUUAGGUCUGUGUGUAGCUAUGAUUAUAUUAUCCUAAUUCGGUUAUUACUUGCGAUUCCAAUAACGUUUUCGGUGUGGUUCGAUAGGUGAGAAUACAUUUUCCUUACAUAUUCUAAUCUAAUUAAAAUUCCUUUUUUAAACUCCUGUGUUUCUGAAACAUAUUUUGAUUUUUCAUAAUUUUUGUUCGCCUUUGAGCAGCAUAUAGGGCCUAAAAAAAUAAAUUAUUUUAUUUUAUAUUAUAUUGCAUUAAAUUUUAUUUUUCUGAGUUAUAGAGUUAUUGUAAUAGUCGUAAAAGUUAAUUAGUAAAUAUGAUACCAUAAAUAAACUAUGAAAUAAAUAAAUAUAUUAAGUUCAAAUUUAGAUAUUUUCAUAUUUAUACAAAAAAACUAUUCGAAUUUAAAGUUGGUCCCCCCCAACAGAGAAUUUUAUAAAUUUGUUGAGAACUUUUCAAACAAAUCACUAAAUUCUCCACAUUAUUCAUAAUUUAUUAUAAAGAAAUGUAUAAUUAAACUUAUAAAUUACUAUUGGGUAUUUUAUUUAUAGAUAAAGUUUGUAAGUAGUUUUUGAUUUAUUUUAUGCUUUAUUAUAUUAUAAUUAUUUAACACGUGUAUAUGGCUUAAGAUUCCAAAGUUUAUGUUAUAUUAAAUAUAAGUAGGUAGUUACAUUCAAUUCUCAGGAUUCGGAAAAAAUAAAAAUAGUUUGCUAUUUAUUAUUAAAUUUCAAAACUGUGUUCAGUGUAAACUGUUUAAUGUGGAACCUGAAUAAUACUGAAAACUAUCCAUUCAGGAAUUUUUUUGGGUCCCAGCAUGUUCCUAAAGUUUUAUGUAAGAGUUAUUGAGUUAAACCUAAAUAAAAUGGAUCAUUCCAUUAUUUGUAUAUAUGGUAUCGUAUCAAUGUAUAUUGUGUCAGAGAUACAAACUAUUCCCGUAGCUGUGAAAAUUAAACACAACUGUUUAAAUGGUGAUAUUAAUCGUUUUUUUUUUUCAUGUUAUAACGUUAUUAUUUAGUGACAAAUGACAAUCUAUAAGAGUAGUUAAAUAAAUUAACUUACUAGUCAUAUAAACUAAAUAAAUAUAUAAUAAAUCAAUAGACUAACUUAUUACACAAUAGUCGUGUACUGCAUAAGACGGAAUUUUCAGUAGAUCUCAUGGAAUUCCGCAUUACACAGUUUUCACGGUGUGCAAUGUUUAGUUGAAUCCAUGUUCUUAUUGUAAAACAAUAUUAUAAAUAUUUUAUAAUUAAUAACUAGAGUUUGUAUUUUAUUCCAGCUGAGGAUGAAAUACCACAAUAUAUGGGAUAUUGUACGUAUA
This is a long non-coding RNA of Acyrthosiphon pisum (pea aphid), 1560 nucleotides long. RefSeq lists it as uncharacterized. The transcript is spliced from 3 exons. Lineage: Eukaryota; Metazoa; Arthropoda; Insecta; Hemiptera; Aphididae. The record is from RefSeq and is a predicted model, not a curated record.